ACGAAGAGACUUGGAAGCUUGCUUCUAAGAAUCUUAGUGGCGAACGGGUGAGUAACGCGUAAUCAACCUGCCCUUCAGAGGGGGACAACAGUUGGAAACGACUGCUAAUACCGCAUACGAUCCAAUCUCGGCAUCGAGGAUGGAUGAAAGGUGGCCUCUAUUUAUAAGCUAUCACUGAAGGAGGGGAUUGCGUCUGAUUAGCUAGUUGGAGGGGUAACGGCCCACCAAGGCAAUGAUCAGUAGCCGGUCUGAGAGGAUGAACGGCCACAUUGGGACUGAGACACGGCCCAGACUCCUACGGGAGGCAGCAGUGGGGAAUCUUCCGCAAUGGACGAAAGUCUGACGGAGCAACGCCGCGUGAGUGAUGACGGCCUUCGGGUUGUAAAGCUCUGUUAAUCGGGACGAAAGGCCUUCUUGCGAAUAGUUAGAAGGAUUGACGGUACCGGAAUAGAAAGCCACGGCUAACUACGUGCCAGC
RNAcentral lists this ribosomal RNA (477 nucleotides) under uncultured bacterium. RNAcentral's name for it is "bacterial SSU rRNA". It matches the Rfam family "Bacterial small subunit ribosomal RNA", at positions 66 to 512 of the family's 1533-position model. The record is from RNAcentral.